AGAUGUAGACAUCUAAGAGAGCCAUCUGUUGACAGUGUGCUUAUUCGUUGACUGUCAUGGAGUUGCUCUCUUCAGAUGUCUGUGU
Non-coding RNA from Syphacia muris, 85 nucleotides. Lineage: Eukaryota; Metazoa; Nematoda; Chromadorea; Rhabditida; Oxyuridae. The record is from Rfam.